CAUGCCGGUCGAAGAUACCAGGCCGCUGCGACUGUUUAUUAAAAACACAGCACUCUGCAAACACGAAAGUGGACGUAUAGGGUGUGACGCCUGCCCGGUGCCGGAAGGUUAAUUGAUGGGGUUAGCUAACGCGAAGCUCUUGAUCGAAGCCCCGGUAAACGGCGGCCGUAACUAUAACGGUCCUAAGGUAGCGAAAUUCCUUGUCGGGUAAGUUCCGACCUGCACGAAUGGCGUAACGAUGGCGGCGCUGUCUCCACCCGAGACUCAGUGAAAUUGAAAUCGCUGUGAAGAUGCAGUGUAUCCGCGGCUAGACGGAAAGACCCCGUGAACCUUUACUAUAGCUUUGCACUGGACUUUGAAUUUGCUUGUGUAGGAUAGGUGGGAGGCUUUGAAGCGUGGACGCCAGUUCGCGUGGAGCCAUCCUUGAAAUACCACCCUGGCAACUUUGAGGUUCUAACUCAGGUCCGUUAUCCGGAUCGAGGACAGUGUAUGGUGGGUAGUUUGACUGGGGCGGUCUCCUCCUAAAGAGUAACGGAGGAGUACGAAGGUGCGCUCAGACCGGUCGGAAAUCGGUCGUAGAGUAUAAAGGCAAAAGCGCGCUUGACUGCGAGACAGACACGUCGAGCAGGUACGAAAGUAGGUCUUAGUGAUCCGGUGGUUCUGUAUGGAAGGGCCAUCGCUCAACGGAUAAAAGGUACUCCGGGGAUAACAGGCUGAUACCGCCCAAGAGUUCAUAUCGACGGCGGUGUUUGGCACCUCGAUGUCGGCUCAUCACAUCCUGGGGCUGAAGCCGGUCCCAAGGGUAUGGCUGUUCGCCAUUUAAAGUGGUACGCGAGCUGGGUUUAGAACGUCGUGAGACAGUUCGGUCCCUAUCUGCCGUGGACGUUUGAGAUUUGAGAGGGGCUGCUCCUAGUACGAGAGGACCGGAGUGGACGAACCUCUGGUGUUCCGGUUGUCACGCCAGUGGCAUUGCCGGGUAGCUAUGUUCGGAAUAGAUAACCGCUGAAAGCAUCUAAGCGGGAAACUAGCCUCAAGAUGAGAUCUCACUGGAACCUUGAGUUCCCUGAAGGGCCGUCGAAGACUACGACGUUGAUAGGUUGGGUGUGUAAGCGCUGUGAGGCGUUGAGCUAACCAAUACUAAUUGCCCGUGAGGCUUGACCAU
Molecule: ribosomal RNA, 1162 nt
Filed under: Pseudomonas sp. NFPP28
Lineage: Bacteria; Pseudomonadati; Pseudomonadota; Gammaproteobacteria; Pseudomonadales; Pseudomonadaceae
Also listed under: 1 other name
Description: bacterial LSU rRNA
Rfam family: Bacterial large subunit ribosomal RNA
Source: RNAcentral